CACAUGGUGCGCAUACCGCGCCUACACGUGUGUCGAUCGCAAUAACGACGCAACUACGCAAGAUUCUGCUUUCGCUCGUAGACUGGCGUGUACGUGCGUCCAUGUGAACCUAGCCUAAAACCUAAAAGACUGAACAUUGAAGAAUAAAACGUAUUAACAUCGUUCGCUAUACUCAUUAGUCAUAUUCAUUUACUUACUUUAAACAUUUUGGAAUAUAGCCAGACGUGUGUUCGUGUUGCAUGUAGUAUUGAAGUUUGGUCCAAUGCUUUGACAUUUCCACCAGAUGAUUUUAUUCUGUGAUGCAUAACCAAUUUUUUGUAAGCAUCACUGAAAUGAUUUGCUGUUGGAUUGACACACCAACCUCCACGAGCCCUUAUUGCAUUGAAAAACAAUUCCAAGUGAUCCUGAGACAAUUUAUAUGUUAACAAAUAUUUGAACUGCUCAGGAUUUUGAACUAUAACAUCUUCAAAUAUUUGUUUAACACUCAUGGAUGAUAUAAUAAUGCCCAAAAAUCCAGUUUUUUUAGGAUGUUCAAUCAUCAAUCCCUGUCCAUGACCCCAUGGCUUUUGGAUCCAUGGCCAUAGGGAUUUCUUGAGUUGAGUAUGUCAAACCACUUAUCUACAAAUCGUAUGAAUUCAGUUGUUGCUUCACUGUUUUCAAACCCAUUGAUUUUUAAGUUUCUACAAAAAUCUAUAGCAUCUGCUACACUGGAACUCAAAGUCUGUGCAGCAAUAUUUACCUUCAUAGGAGACUGCUUCCAUUCCAAAUGCCUUUUUUUUAGUUUGUUACCUGCAUGAAGCCCUUCUGAUUCUUGAAGCAUUACAAGCUUUUCAAUUUUAAGUGCAUG
This is a long non-coding RNA of Aphis gossypii (cotton aphid), 847 nucleotides long. RefSeq lists it as uncharacterized. NCBI's taxonomy places the organism in Eukaryota, Metazoa, Arthropoda, Insecta, Hemiptera, Aphididae. The transcript is spliced from 4 exons. The record is from RefSeq and is a predicted model, not a curated record.